Long non-coding RNA from Patiria miniata (bat star), 936 nucleotides. RefSeq lists it as uncharacterized. The transcript has 2 exons. The record is from RefSeq and is a predicted model, not a curated record. NCBI's taxonomy places the organism in Eukaryota, Metazoa, Echinodermata, Asteroidea, Valvatida, Asterinidae.
UCAGUUCAGAGAGCGAUGGUUUGAGAAAAACGUGCGAAAUUUCCCGGGAAGAGAGUGAGUACAAAUGGCCUGCUUGCCGUUGGACUGAGCUCGACGUGACUUGAUGCGCCGGCCAGGAAGUUACAAGGUAUUGGAACGUACAGACUUAAUCGGUAUGUGCGUGCAACUAUCGCCAACCUGACAGCACCGAGAACCGUGUUGAUUUAUACGCGGAGCGUCCGGCGUUGAUACAAAACCGAAGAAAAUGAAAAUGGAUAUUAAAUACAUGGGUGUGCAUGACACAGCGGAGCGGAGAAGAUGAAUCCAGGCAGAAUUGAAGGAAAACUCGGCGCACCGGUGAUGUUCCAUGUGACGUGAUGGAAGGGGGGACACCGCGCAGUUACUUGCCAGAUGAGGUCAUUAAUUACUGCGAUGGAUUCGCAAACAUUGAGGCAGCACGAUUGGGACGAGUCUUCUUUCUUCCCUUCCCCUUUUUUAUUUCUCCUUGUAUCUGCCCUCCCCUGACUGUCUCUCCACGGGGCUCUGUCAUGGCGGCGGCGCCUCAGUACCGCGGCGUCACUGCGGGUUUCCUUGAGUCUGUGGAGACGAUGCAUCAAUGCAAAAGACCAGGCGGGGAAAAAAGGGUUGAAUAAAAACAGCCCGGAGUUGGAUAUAGAGUUUUUGGUUUGUGAAUUGGAAACAUGACGAGGAGAGAGAUUGAGUCAAGGUCACCGCGUCUACGCGCUGACGAGAGGAAAUGAGAGGAUGUUAUUUUAGCUGAAUUAUUUCGGCCCAUAAUUAUCGAUGUUUUUCCUCCUUUGGGGGAAGUUUUCAGUGUUGCUCUAUAGUGAUUAAGCCGCUGAAGGUUUGCUGAAUCAUGCGCGCAAUAAUGGACUGAUGUGCAUCUGGCAAGAUUUCUGUUCAAAUCUGAACGAAAGAAAUAAAAGUGUGCUUCAA